RNAcentral lists this transfer RNA (77 nucleotides) under Diaphorina citri (Asian citrus psyllid). It matches the Rfam family "tRNA". Rfam says of the family: Transfer RNA (tRNA) molecules are approximately 80 nucleotides in length. The record is from Rfam by way of RNAcentral. Lineage: Eukaryota; Metazoa; Arthropoda; Insecta; Hemiptera; Psyllidae.
GCCUAGUUAGCUUGGAGGGUAGGUAGAGCGUCUGCCUUGUAAGUGCUAGGUCGUGGGUUCGAUUCCCACACGGGGCG